Molecule: small nuclear RNA, 190 nt
Organism: Hyla sarda
Lineage: Eukaryota; Metazoa; Chordata; Amphibia; Anura; Hylidae
Product: U2 spliceosomal RNA
Exons: 1
Source: RefSeq, a predicted model, not a curated record
CUCGCUUCUCGGCCUUUUGGCUAAGAUCAACUUUAGUAUCUGUUCUUAUCAGUUCAUGCUGGUGGCCUGAAAUGCUGGUAUUGGGCUGGUGGGGAUGGGUGCUACAUGGAGGUGACAGGUGUACCAGGGCUUUCUGGGACUGAUUCUGAGGAAUCAGCUCGAUGGCUGCCCCGAGGUGAUGAAACACACU